Molecule: long non-coding RNA, 773 nt
Organism: Nicotiana tabacum (common tobacco)
Lineage: Eukaryota; Viridiplantae; Streptophyta; Magnoliopsida; Solanales; Solanaceae
Source: RefSeq, a predicted model, not a curated record
AGAGGGAACCCACCCCUUCUAGAAAAAACCCUAAGAUACCCUAAAUUCUCUCUGGCUGAAGAAGAAUGGCGACCCCCUCCCUUUUACAACCAGAAAAAACCAGCCGCCUCUUUCCUCUUCUUCUUCUUCUUUUCUCUCAAGCGGCCACCUGAUUCCACCUUCCUCCUCAAAUUAGCUUCACAAACAAAGAAAAAGAUUUGAAAAACCAGGGGUUUUGAGAAAUAUCUCGUUAUCUGCCGAUUUGUUGGACGAAUCCAGUUGGUUUUCGAUGUCAAAUCGAGUUCUUAAGGGGCUAUUUGUUGUUGCUGUUGCCGAUUGUUGAGUAGCUGAGCUCCAUUCCUCAUUCUAGACCUUUAUUUGGUCGUCCACUACUGUUCUGCUAUCAUUAGAAACCAAAAGGGGUUAUUUGGGCUUCAGAUGUAAACUUUUGUCAGUGAUGGACUCUUAAGUAUGUAAGUGGAGGCAGUACCAUCCUAGAACAUAUGCACCAGUAAGUGAAAAUAUUAACGGACCGAGAAGCUUCAGUAGAUUCUCCUCCAUUCCGCUAUCUUGAUCAUGUUCGCACCUGUCCUACCUUCUCUUUUGGAGCGUCUGUAGGCUCACGUGUAGCGACUGUAGCAUUCCUAAGGCACUAGGGGAGGUCAUUGGUCGGUUUGGUACGAUUUUGAAAGAUUGUAUUUUCGGUUUUGGUUUUAAAAAUGUUUACUAAUAUCAUAUCAAAAUAAAUUUGGUAUGGUUCGGUUUAUUAAUUUUCAGUUUUGGUUUGUGUUGUU